Molecule: non-coding RNA, 30 nt
Filed under: Rattus norvegicus (Norway rat)
Lineage: Eukaryota; Metazoa; Chordata; Mammalia; Rodentia; Muridae
Source: RNAcentral
UCAGACACACUGUGCCUAUCUGUACAUGUC